RNAcentral lists this ribosomal RNA (239 nucleotides) under uncultured bacterium. Its description in RNAcentral is "partial 16S ribosomal RNA". It matches the Rfam family "Bacterial small subunit ribosomal RNA", at positions 100 to 339 of the family's 1533-position model. The record is from RNAcentral.
GGACGGGUGAGUAAUACGUAGGAAUCUGUCCUGGAGAGGGGGAUAACCCGAGGAAACUCGGGCUAAUACCGCAUGACAUUGAGAAAUCAAAAGCAGGGGACCUGAAAGGGCCUUGCGCUCUGGGUUGAGCCUACGUCGGAUUAGCUAGUUGGUGGGGUAAAGGCCUACCAAGGCAACGAUCCGUAGUUGGUCUGAGAGGACGAUCAGCCACACUGGGACUGAGACACGGCCCAGACUCC